CUUAUCAAGAGCGACUGAGGGACAGGCCCUGUGACGUCCGGCAACCUACAUUCUGUAAGGUGCUAAUUCCUGCGGUAAUUACCGAAAGAUGAG
This 93-nucleotide non-coding RNA is filed under the name uncultured Ruminococcus sp. RNAcentral's name for it is "SAM riboswitch (S box leader)". It matches the Rfam family "SAM riboswitch aptamer (S box leader)". Rfam says of the family: The SAM riboswitch is found upstream of a number of genes which code for proteins involved in methionine or cysteine biosynthesis in Gram-positive bacteria. The SAM riboswitch acts at the level of transcription termination control. The record is from RNAcentral. Lineage: Bacteria; Bacillati; Bacillota; Clostridia; Eubacteriales; Oscillospiraceae.